GCACUUUUAGCUUAAUUGGUUAGAGUAACAAUCUUCGAAAUUGUUAGUAUAGGUUCAAAUCCUAUAAAGUGUU
This 73-nucleotide transfer RNA is filed under the name Schizosaccharomyces pombe (fission yeast). RNAcentral's name for it is "tRNA Arginine (ucg), mitochondrial". It matches the Rfam family "tRNA". From Rfam's summary of the family: Transfer RNA (tRNA) molecules are approximately 80 nucleotides in length. Their secondary structure includes four short double-helical elements and three loops (D, anti-codon, and T loops). The record is from RNAcentral. Lineage: Eukaryota; Fungi; Ascomycota; Schizosaccharomycetes; Schizosaccharomycetales; Schizosaccharomycetaceae.